AAGGAUCAUUAAUGAGAACUUGCCCCUCGGGGUAGAUCUCCCACCCUCUGUGAACUUACCCAUGUUGCUUUGGCAGGCCCGUCCUCGGGCCGCCGGCUCCGGCUGGCCAGCGCCUGCCAGAGGAUCUUCAAACCCUGCCUGUCAGUGUUGUCUGAGUCUAUAUAUAAUUGUCAAAACUUUCAACAACGGAUCUCUUGGUUCUG
RNAcentral lists this unclassified non-coding RNA (203 nucleotides) under uncultured fungus. Its description in RNAcentral is "partial contains 18S rRNA, ITS1, 5.8S rRNA, ITS2 and 28S rRNA". The record is from RNAcentral. Lineage: Eukaryota; Fungi.